GAUGAACGCUGGCGGCGUGCCUAAUACAUGCAAGUCGAGCGAACAGAUGAGGAUCUUGCUCCUCUGACGUUAGCGGCGCACGGGUGAGUAACACGUGUAUAACCUACCUAUAAGACUGGUAUAACUUCGGGAAACCGGAGCUAAUACCGUAUAAUAUCUUGAACCGCAUGGUUCAAUGGUGAAAGACGGUGUUGCUGUCACUUAUAGCUGGAUCCGCGCCGCAUUAGCUAGUUGGUAAGGUAACGGCUUACUAAGGCAACGAUGCGUAGACGACGUGAGAGAGUGAUAGCCCACCGUGGAACGUAGACACGGACAAGGCGACUACGGGACGCAGCAGUAGCGAACGUUACGCAGUGGGCGAAAGUAUGACGGAGCAGGGCGGAGUGAGUGAUAAAGAUGUCCGGAUCGGAAAGAUCUGUUACUAGGGAAGAACCACUGUGUAAGUAACUGUGCCCGUAUUGACGGUAACGAGUAAGAAAGCACCGGCUAACUACGUG
This 497-nucleotide ribosomal RNA is filed under the name uncultured bacterium. RNAcentral describes it as "partial 16S ribosomal RNA". It matches the Rfam family "Bacterial small subunit ribosomal RNA", at positions 28 to 507 of the family's 1533-position model. The record is from RNAcentral.